This 499-nucleotide ribosomal RNA is filed under the name uncultured bacterium. Its description in RNAcentral is "partial 16S ribosomal RNA". It matches the Rfam family "Bacterial small subunit ribosomal RNA", at positions 28 to 507 of the family's 1533-position model. The record is from RNAcentral.
GACGAACGCUGGCGGCGUGCCUAAUACAUGCAAGUCGAGCGAAGUUUUUCUGGUGCUUGCACUAGAAAAACUUAGCGGCGAACGGGUGAGUAACACGUAAAGAACCUGCCUCAUAGACUGGGACAACUAUUGGAAACGGUAGCUAAUACCGGAUAACAGUAUUUCUCGCAUGAGAGAUAUUUAAAAGUUGGUUAUGCUAACACUAUGAGAUGGCUUUGCGGUGCAUUAGCUAGUUGGUGGGGUAAAGGCCCACCAAGGCGACGAUGCAUAGCCGACCUGAGAGGGUGAUCGGCCACACUGGGACUGAGACACGGCCCAGACUCCUACGGGAGGCAGCAGUAGGGAAUCUUCCGCAAUGGGCGAAAGCCUGACGGAGCAACGCCGCGUGAGUGAAGAAGGAUUUCGGUUCGUAAAGCUCUGUUGUUAGGGAAGAAUGGAUAUGUAGUAGCUAUACAUGUAAGAGACGGUACCUAACCAGAAAGCCACGGCUAACUACGUG